CCUACGGGGGGCUGCAGUGAGGAAUAUUGGUCAAUGGACGAGAGUCUGAACCAGCCAAGUAGCGUGAAGGAUGACUGCCCUAUGGGUUGUAAACUUCUUUUAUAUGGGAAUAAAAUGUUCCACGUGUGGGAUUUUGUAUGUACCAUAUGAAUAAGGAUCUGCUAACUCCGUGCCAGCAGCCGCGGUAAUACGGAGGAUCCGAGCGUUAUCCGGAUUUAUUGGGUUUAAAGGGAGCGUAGGUGGAUUGUUAAGUCAGUUGUGAAAGUUUGCGGCUCAACCGUAAAAUUGCAGUUGAAACUGGCAGUUGUGAGUACAGUAGAGGUGGGCGGAAGUCGUGGUGUAGCGGUGAAAUGCUUAGAUAUCACGAAGAACUCCGAUUGCGAAGGCAGAUUACUAAACUGCCACUGACAUUGAUGCUCGAAAGUGUGGGUAUCAAACAGGAUUAGAUACCCGAGUAGUC
This 460-nucleotide ribosomal RNA is filed under the name uncultured bacterium. RNAcentral's name for it is "partial 16S ribosomal RNA". It matches the Rfam family "Bacterial small subunit ribosomal RNA", at positions 338 to 795 of the family's 1533-position model. The record is from RNAcentral.